Molecule: long non-coding RNA, 321 nt
Filed under: Elaeis guineensis (African oil palm)
Lineage: Eukaryota; Viridiplantae; Streptophyta; Magnoliopsida; Arecales; Arecaceae
Description: long non-coding RNA (EGUI_LNC069990)
Source: RNAcentral
GGGUGAUGAGAAGCAACUUUUCUAUGUUAUCUUCCUGCUUAUUUGCAUGACAUUGGUUAUUUUAUUUAUGAGGUAUUAUGUUUUAUCAUUUGCUGCAUCAUAUUUUAUGAUUAUGAUAAACCCUAUAGAUUUGGAUAAUGAUUUUAGGACCAUGAUGAGAUCAUUCCAUUAAGACCUAAAAUCUUGAUAGUUUCAAUCUAAAAUAUUUUCAAUCAUUGGAUCAUCGAGUCAGAGAUCGAUGAUAUAGAUAAGACUAAUACAUCCUAUGUAUGCUCAAUGGAGAGGGUGAUUGAUCUCACAAUCACUUGUGUGGUGACACUA